GACGAACGCUGGCGGCGUGCUUAACACAUGCAAGUCGAACGGUGAAGGGGCCUGCUUUUGUGGGUCCUGGAUGAGUGGCGAACGGGUGAGUAACACGUGAGUAACCUGCCCCCUUCUUCUGGAUAACCGCAUGAAAGUGUGGCUAAUACGGGAUAUUCUGCGCCUGCUGCAUGGUGGGUGUGGGAAAGAUGCGCCUUUGGGUGUUUUUGGUGGGGGAUGGGCUCGCGGCCUAUCAGCUUGUUGGUGGGGUGAUGGCCUACCAAGGCGGUGACGGGUAGCCGGCCUGAGAGGGUGGACGGUCACACUGGGACUGAGACACGGCCCAGACUCCUACGGGAGGCAGCAGUGGGGAAUAUUGCACAAUGGGCGCAAGCCUGAUGCAGCGACGCCGCGUGAGGGAUGGAGGCCUUCGGGUUGUGAACCUCUUUCGCCAGUGAAGCAGGCCUGCCUCGUUUGUGGGUGG
RNAcentral lists this ribosomal RNA (463 nucleotides) under Actinomyces sp. oral taxon 171. Its description in RNAcentral is "bacterial SSU rRNA". It matches the Rfam family "Bacterial small subunit ribosomal RNA", at positions 28 to 471 of the family's 1533-position model. The record is from RNAcentral. Lineage: Bacteria; Bacillati; Actinomycetota; Actinomycetes; Actinomycetales; Actinomycetaceae.